RNAcentral lists this ribosomal RNA (1081 nucleotides) under Lysinibacillus fusiformis. RNAcentral's name for it is "bacterial SSU rRNA". It matches the Rfam family "Bacterial small subunit ribosomal RNA", at positions 36 to 1097 of the family's 1533-position model. The record is from RNAcentral. Lineage: Bacteria; Bacillati; Bacillota; Bacilli; Caryophanales; Bacillaceae.
CUGGCGGCGUGCCUAAUACAUGCAAGUCGAGCGAAUGACGAGGAGCUUGCUCCUCUGAUUUAGCGGCGGACGGGUGAGUAACACGUGGGCAACCUGCCCUGUAGACUGGGAUAACUUCGGGAAACCGGAGCUAAUACCGGAUAAUCCAUUUCACCUCAUGGUGAAAUGUUGAAAGGCGCUUUCGGGCGUCACUACAGGAUGGGCCCGCGGUGCAUUAGCUAGUUGGUGGGGUAACGGCCUACCAAGGCGACGAUGCAUAGCCGACCUGAGAGGGUGAUCGGCCACAUUGGGACUGAGACACGGCCCAAACUCCUACGGGAGGCAGCAGUAGGGAAUCUUCCACAAUGGACGAAAGUCUGAUGGAGCAACGCCGCGUGAGUGAUGAAGGUUUUCGGAUCGUAAAACUCUGUUGUAAGGGAAGAACAAGUACGUUAGGAAAUGAACGUACCUUGACGGUACCUUAUUAGAAAGCCACGGCUAACUACGUGCCAGCAGCCGCGGUAAUACGUAGGUGGCAAGCGUUGUCCGGAUUUAUUGGGCGUAAAGCGCGCGCAGGCGGUUUCUUAAGUCUGAUGUGAAAGCCCACGGCUUAACCGUGGAGGGUCAUUGGAAACUGGGAGACUUGAGUGCAGAAGAGGAAAGUGGAAUUCCAAGUGUAGCGGUGAAAUGCGUAGAGAUUUGGAGGAACACCAGUGGCGAAGGCGACUUUCUGGUCUGCAACUGACGCUGAGGCGCGAAAGCAUGGGGAGCAAACAGGAUUAGAUACCCUGGUAGUCCAUGCCGUAAACGAUGAGUGCUAAGUGUUAGGGGGUUUCCGCCCCUUAGUGCUGCAGCUAACGCAUUAAGCACUCCGCCUGGGGAGUACGACCGCAAGGUUGAAACUCAAAGGAAUUGACGGGGGCCCGCACAAGCGGUGGAGCAUGUGGUUUAAUUCGAAGCAACGCGAAGAACCUUACCAGGUCUUGACAUCCCAGUGACCACUCUAGAGAUAGAGUUUUCCCUUCGGGGACAUUGGUGACAGGUGGUGCAUGGUUGUCGUCAGCUCGUGUCGUGAGAUGUUGGGUUAAGUCCCGCAACGAGC